This 68-nucleotide transfer RNA is filed under the name Acropyga smithii. Its description in RNAcentral is "tRNA-Glu". The record is from RNAcentral. Lineage: Eukaryota; Metazoa; Arthropoda; Insecta; Hymenoptera; Formicidae.
AUUUAUAUAGUUUAAGCUCUAAAACAUUAUAUUUUCAAUAUAAAAAAAAUAAAUUUUAUUUAUAAAUU